Molecule: transfer RNA, 87 nt
Filed under: Parvibaculum indicum
Lineage: Bacteria; Pseudomonadati; Pseudomonadota; Alphaproteobacteria; Hyphomicrobiales; Parvibaculaceae
Also listed under: 2 other names
Description: tRNA-Leu
Rfam family: tRNA
About the family: Transfer RNA (tRNA) molecules are approximately 80 nucleotides in length. Their secondary structure includes four short double-helical elements and three loops (D, anti-codon, and T loops).
Source: RNAcentral
GCGGACGUGGUGGAACUGGUAGACACAAGGGACUUAAAAUCCCUCUCGGGCAACCGAAUGCGGGUUCGAGUCCCGCCGUCCGCACCA